UGAGGAAUAUUGGUCAAUGGGCGGAAGCCUGAACCAGCCAUCCCGCGUGCAGGAAGACAGCCCUAUGGGUUGUAAACUGCUUUUCCAGUGGGCGAAACACUCGUACGUGUACGAGAUUGACGGUACACUGGGAAUAAGCAUCGGCUAACUCCGUGCCAGCAGCCGCGGUAAUACGGAGGAUGCAAGCGUUAUCCGGAUUUAUUGGGUUUAAAGGGUGCGUGGGCGGAUGAAUAAGUCAGUGGUGAAAGGCUGCAGCUUAACUGUAGACUUGCCGUUGAUACUGUUUAUCUUGAGUAUGGUCAAGGCAGGCGGAAUGUGUAAUGUAGCGGUGAAAUGCUUAGAUAUUACACAGAACACCGAUUGCGAAGGCAGCUUGCUGGGCCAUUACUGACGCUGAUGCACGAAAGCGUGGG
RNAcentral lists this ribosomal RNA (413 nucleotides) under uncultured bacterium. Its description in RNAcentral is "bacterial SSU rRNA". It matches the Rfam family "Bacterial small subunit ribosomal RNA", at positions 355 to 765 of the family's 1533-position model. The record is from RNAcentral.